This 496-nucleotide ribosomal RNA is filed under the name uncultured bacterium. RNAcentral describes it as "partial 16S ribosomal RNA". It matches the Rfam family "Bacterial small subunit ribosomal RNA", at positions 29 to 507 of the family's 1533-position model. The record is from RNAcentral.
AUGAACGCUGGCGGCGUGCCUAAUCCAUGCCCGUCGAGCGAAUAGAUGAGGAGCUUGCUCCUCUGACGUUAGCGGCGGACGGGUGAGUAACACGUGGAUAACCUACCUAUAAGACUGGGAUAACUUCGGGAAACCGGAGCUAAUACCGGAUAAUAUAUUGAACCGCAUGGUUCAAUAGUGAAAGACGGUUUUGCUGUCACUUAUAGAUGGAUCCGCGCCGCAUUAGCUAGUUGGUAAGGUAACGGCUUACCAAGGCAACGAUGCGUAGCCGACCUGAGAGGGUGAUCGGCCACACUGGAACUGAGACACGGUCCAGACUCCUACGGGAGGCAGCAGUAGGGAAUCUUCCGCAAUGGGCGAAAGCCUGACGGAGCAACGCCGCGUGAGUGAUGAAGGUCUUCGGAUCGUAAAACUCUGUUAUUAGGGAAGAACAAAUGUGUAAGUAACUAUGCACGUCUUGACGGUACCUAAUCAGAAAGCCACGGCUAACUACGUG